UAUCACUUGUCUUGCCUCAAUGUGGAGAAUAAUCACCAACUAGGUUGAAAAUGGAAUGAACAAGCUCAACUUGCUAUGCAGUACACAGUGAAUAUAUGAAAUAGAGAAACUAAUGUUUUUCUCCAUUUUUGGGAUGUUUAAACUCAUUGAAAUCGCCUAUCACUCAAUGAUUAAUUCAAGUGUGAACAAGAUAAUGCCACUCACCUUCCUCAUAUGAUCCACCCCAACCUCCAUUUCGUUUUGAAAUGGGCUCAUUCUUGAUAGGAUUAUACUGAAAAGUUCCUUCAAUAAUUUGAGCUCGAUCGGCUUCAACAAAAGUCACUUGUAGUAUGUAGGGAUAAUGAAAUGAAAUGGCCAACAUCCUCUUGGUCCGCAACCUCUUGC
RNAcentral lists this long non-coding RNA (384 nucleotides) under Eucalyptus grandis. Its description in RNAcentral is "long non-coding RNA (EGRA_LNC001674)". Lineage: Eukaryota; Viridiplantae; Streptophyta; Magnoliopsida; Myrtales; Myrtaceae. The record is from RNAcentral.